AUUUAAAUAGCUUAAUAAUAGAGCGUAAUAUUGAAGAUAUUAAAGUGACAUGAAAUUGUUUUUAAAUA
Molecule: transfer RNA, 68 nt
Filed under: Dolichovespula panda
Lineage: Eukaryota; Metazoa; Arthropoda; Insecta; Hymenoptera; Vespidae
Description: tRNA-Phe
Rfam family: tRNA
About the family: Transfer RNA (tRNA) molecules are approximately 80 nucleotides in length. Their secondary structure includes four short double-helical elements and three loops (D, anti-codon, and T loops). Further hydrogen bonds mediate the characteristic L-shaped molecular structure. tRNAs have two regions of fundamental functional importance: the anti-codon, which is responsible for specific mRNA codon recognition, and the 3' end, to which the tRNAs corresponding amino acid is attached (by aminoacyl-tRNA synthetases). tRNAs cope with the degeneracy of the genetic code in two manners: having more than one tRNA (with a specific anti-codon) for a particular amino acid; and 'wobble' base-pairing, i.e. permitting non-standard base-pairing at the 3rd anti-codon position.
Source: RNAcentral